GGAGCUUUAGUUUAAUUAAAAUACCUGCUUUGCAAGCAGAGGAUGUAGAGGGCCUGCAAGCUCUA
Molecule: transfer RNA, 65 nt
Filed under: Hebius craspedogaster (Kuatun keelback)
Lineage: Eukaryota; Metazoa; Chordata; Lepidosauria; Squamata; Natricidae
Description: tRNA-Ala
Rfam family: tRNA
About the family: Transfer RNA (tRNA) molecules are approximately 80 nucleotides in length. Their secondary structure includes four short double-helical elements and three loops (D, anti-codon, and T loops). Further hydrogen bonds mediate the characteristic L-shaped molecular structure. tRNAs have two regions of fundamental functional importance: the anti-codon, which is responsible for specific mRNA codon recognition, and the 3' end, to which the tRNAs corresponding amino acid is attached (by aminoacyl-tRNA synthetases). tRNAs cope with the degeneracy of the genetic code in two manners: having more than one tRNA (with a specific anti-codon) for a particular amino acid; and 'wobble' base-pairing, i.e. permitting non-standard base-pairing at the 3rd anti-codon position.
Source: RNAcentral